CUAGAAUAAAGCAGGCAGAAGAAGGUGGAAGGAGCCGACGUGCUGAGUCUUCCAGGCUUCAUCUUUCUCCUGUGCUGGAUGCUUCCUGCCCUCGAACAUCAGACUCCAAAUUCUUCAGCUUUUGGACUCUUGGAUUUACACCAGUGGUUUGCUAGAGCCUCUCGGGGCGUUGGCCACAGACCGAAGGCUGCACUAUCGGCUUCCCUACUUUUGAGGUUUUGGGACUCAGAAUGGCUUCCUUGCUCCUCAGCUUGCAGACAGACUAUUGUGGGACGUCAACUUGUGAUGGUAGAUGGAGUUUCACCAUAUUGGCCAGGCUGAUCUCGAACUCCUGGACUCAAGUGAUCCACCUGCCUUAGCCUCCCAAAGUGCUGGGAUUACAAGGCUCUCCUGGGUAGGCAGUGGAAGGAAAUGACAGUGAACUCGAAAUGUGAGUGAGACUUCUCCUCACCCAGCUCCAUGCUUUGUCCUCCUCCUCUUUCCGUUCCUCCUCUUGGAAACAUAUCCAGCUGGAUGCAGCAUCCAGGACCCUAAUGAAUAUUCCCUUCCAGAAUCUCCACCUUCACCCAACUGUUUUACCUCCCUGGCAAUAAAACCAUCAUGAAAAAACCUGCGUUGUGCCACAUUUUUGAGGGUAUACUCUAUACUGGCUUUCCAGUCAGGAAGAUCAAGGGGUAGUGGCAACAGAUGACUCAUCAAC
Molecule: long non-coding RNA, 700 nt
Filed under: Homo sapiens (human)
Lineage: Eukaryota; Metazoa; Chordata; Mammalia; Primates; Hominidae
Description: HSALNT0345071
Source: RNAcentral